GCAGGCGGUGCAGAGGUUAGCACUGUUGUCUUGCGACCGAAGGACUGGGUUCAAAUCCCUGCUCCUGCU
This 69-nucleotide transfer RNA is filed under the name Scleropages formosus (Asian bonytongue). Its description in RNAcentral is "tRNA-Ala". Lineage: Eukaryota; Metazoa; Chordata; Actinopteri; Osteoglossiformes; Osteoglossidae. The record is from RNAcentral.